GACGAACGCUGGCGGCGCGCUUAACACAUGCAAGUCGAGCGAGAACCAGGGCUUCGGCCCUGGGGACAGCGGCGAACGGGUGAGUAACACGUUGGUAAUCUGCCCUCGGCACCGGAAUAGCCCGGGGAAACCCGGCUUAAUGCCGGAUGGCCCCUUCACCUCGCGAGGUGUCGGGAAAAGGUAGCUUCGGCCUCUGGCCGAGGAUGAGCCCGCGGGGGAUUAGCUUUGUGGCGGGGUAACGGCCCACCAAGGCGACGAUGCGUAGCUGGUCUGAGAGGACGAUCAGCCACACUGGGACUGAGACACGGCCCAGACUCCUACGGGAGGCAGCAGUGGGGAAUCUUGCGCAAUGGGCGAAAGCCUGACGCAGCGACGCCGCGUGAGGGAAGAAGGCCUUCGGGUUGUAAACCUCUUUCAGGAGGGACGAAGCUACUCGGGUGAAUAGCCCAGAGGGUGACGGUACCUCCAGAAGAAGCCCCGGCUAACUACGUGCCAGCCGCCGCAGUAA
Molecule: ribosomal RNA, 508 nt
Filed under: uncultured bacterium
Lineage: Bacteria
Description: partial 16S ribosomal RNA
Rfam family: Bacterial small subunit ribosomal RNA
Source: RNAcentral